RNAcentral lists this ribosomal RNA (482 nucleotides) under uncultured bacterium. Its description in RNAcentral is "partial 16S ribosomal RNA". It matches the Rfam family "Bacterial small subunit ribosomal RNA", at positions 30 to 507 of the family's 1533-position model. The record is from RNAcentral.
AUUGAACGCUGGCGGCAUGCCUUACACAUGCAAGUCGAACGGUAACGGGCCUUCGGGUGCCGACGAGUGGCGAACGGGUGAGUAAUACAUCGGAACGUGCCCGAUCGUGGGGGAUAACGAGGCGAAAGCUUUGCUAAUACCGCAUACGAUCUACGGAUGAAAGCAGGGGACCGCAAGGCCUUGCGCGGACGGAGCGGCCGAUGGCAGAUUAGGUAGUUGGUGGGAUAAAAGCUUACCAAGCCGACGAUCUGCAGCUGGUCUGAGAGGAUGAUCAGCCACACUGGGACUGAGACACGGCCCAGACUCCUACGGGAGGCAGCAGUGGGGAAUUUUGGACAAUGGGCGCAAGCCUGAUCCAGCCAUGCCGCGUGCAGGAUGAAGGCCUUCGGGUUGUAAACUGCUUUUGUACGGAACGAAAAGCCUUCUUUUAAUACAGGAGGGUCAUGACGGUACCGGAAGAAUAAGCACCGGCUAACUACGUG